Molecule: long non-coding RNA, 265 nt
Filed under: Elaeis guineensis (African oil palm)
Lineage: Eukaryota; Viridiplantae; Streptophyta; Magnoliopsida; Arecales; Arecaceae
Description: long non-coding RNA (EGUI_LNC081554)
Source: RNAcentral
GCCAGUAAUAGCCUUGUCGGAAUAGUUUGUGGGAUAAAGAUUUGGUCCCCAGGUGACUUUCGCAGACUCCCUCAUAUACCUCCCAUAAGGCGAAGUCGGCUUCAGAAGGUCGGAGACAUUUCAGGAGGGGCAAAGAGUACGACCUCUUGUACAACUUGCCUUCAUAAAGAAUAUAUCGGGAGGCCUGAUUCCUAAGCUUUCGAGCUUCUUUUGCAUCAGGAGGAAGAACCCCAUCCUUGAGGUAUGCAACCAGUGGGUCAAUCCA